RNAcentral lists this ribosomal RNA (250 nucleotides) under uncultured prokaryote. RNAcentral describes it as "partial 16S ribosomal RNA". It matches the Rfam family "Bacterial small subunit ribosomal RNA", at positions 524 to 774 of the family's 1533-position model. The record is from RNAcentral.
UACGUAGGGGCGAGCGUUGUCCGGAAUUACUGGGCGUAAAGGGCGCGCAGGCUGUGCUGCAAGUCAGCUGUGAAAUGUCUGGGCUUAACCCGGGCAUGCGGUUGAGACUGCAGUGCUGGAGUGCUGUAGAGGCAAGUGGAAUUCCCAGUGUAGCGGUGAAAUGCGUAGAUAUUGGGAAGAACACCGGUGGCGAAGGCGACUUGCUGGGCAGCAAACUGACGCUGAGGCGCGAAAGCGUGGGGAGCAAACA